This 479-nucleotide ribosomal RNA is filed under the name uncultured bacterium. RNAcentral describes it as "partial 16S ribosomal RNA". It matches the Rfam family "Bacterial small subunit ribosomal RNA", at positions 28 to 523 of the family's 1533-position model. The record is from RNAcentral.
GACGAACGCUGGCGGCGUGCUUAACACAUGCAAGUCGAACGAUGAACCCGGAGCUUGCUCCGGCGGAUUAGUGGCGAACGGGUGAGUAACACGUGAGUAACCUGCCCUUGACUCUGGGAUAACUGCUAGAAAUGGUAGCUAAUACCGGAUACGACCCUCGGUGGCAUCACCAGGGGGUGGAAAGAAUUUCGGUCAAGGAUGGACUCGCGGCCUAUCAGCUAGUUGGUGAGGUAACGGCUCACCAAGGCGACGACGGGUAGCCGGCCUGAGAGGGUGACCGGCCACACUGGGACUGAGACACGGCCCAGACUCCUACGGGAGGCAGCAGUGGGGAAUCUUGGACAAUGGGCGCAAGCCUGAUCCAGCAAUGCCGCGUGAGUGAGGAAGGCCCUAGGGUUGUAAGGCUCUUUCGGCGGGGACGAUGAUGACGGUACCCGCAGAAGAAGCCCCGGCUAACUUCGUGCCAGCCGCCGCCGUAA